RNAcentral lists this ribosomal RNA (274 nucleotides) under uncultured bacterium. RNAcentral describes it as "partial 16S ribosomal RNA". It matches the Rfam family "Bacterial small subunit ribosomal RNA", at positions 523 to 796 of the family's 1533-position model. The record is from RNAcentral.
AUACGGAGGGUGCAAGCGUUAAUCGGAAUUACUGGGCGUAAAGCGUACGUAGGCGGUUAUUUAAGUCAGAUGAGAAUGCCCCGGGCUUAACUUGGGAACUGCAUUUGAAACUGGGUAACUAGAGUUUAGUAGAGGGGAGUGGAAUUUCAGGUGUAGCGGUGAAAUGCGUAGAGAUCUGAAGGAACACCAGUGGCGAAGGCGACUCCCUGGACUAAAACUGACGCUGAGGUACGAAAGCGUGGGUAGCAAACAGGAUUAGAAACCCUUGUAGUCC